Oncorhynchus tshawytscha (Chinook salmon) is the source of this 434-nucleotide long non-coding RNA. NCBI's taxonomy places the organism in Eukaryota, Metazoa, Chordata, Actinopteri, Salmoniformes, Salmonidae. The record is from Ensembl.
GCAGAGGGGUGUGUGGGGCGGGGGGGACCCAAAAGAAGAUGUCAUAGGUCAUCUCUACAGACCCAAAAGAAGAUGUCGUAGGUCAUCUCUACAGACCCCACAGAGGAUGUCAUGACAGGUCAUCUCUACAGACCCAACAGAGGAUGUCAUGACAGGUCAUCUCUACAGACCCAACAGAGGAUGUCAUGACAGGUCAUCUCUACAGACCCCACAGUGGAUGACAUGACAGGUCAUCUCUACAGACCCAAUAGAGGAUGUCAUGACAGGUCAUCUGUACAGACCCCACAGAGGAUGUCAUGACAGGUCAUCUCUACAGACCCCACAGAGGAUGUCAUGACAGGUCAUCUCUACAGACCCAACAGAGGAUGUCAUGACAGGUCAUCUGUACAGACCCCACAGAGGAUGUCAUGACAGGUCAUCUCUACAGACCCCAC